CUGCAAGAACGCUGUCAGCAGACUAACUCGGCCAGUGAGGAGGAUCGCCUUCAGCGACGCUAGACCCACACAAAGAACCUGUGCCUGCGAUGCUGAAGCCUGACAGAGUGAGCGCCCCGAGCGAAGGGAGCGCCUUGCCGCUCAGAAUAACGGAAACACCACGAUAGGACACAACGUCCCACACCGCCCAGCAGCCGGCGGGCAGCACUGCGCCUGUGCGGUAUCCUCUGGCACACGGCACUCUCGCCCCUUCCCUCCGGGCGCCUCCAUCCCGCGGGGGGAGCGGGUUGUCCAGGCCUCUCCACUCCGGGUCCUGCGAACCGCCCUGCCCGGGCUUCCGCCCUCCAGCCCAGGGAAACAACAGCGGGGCUGCCGCCUCCUGCUUGUACAAGGCCGCCGCAGACCCUCCGCACUGCCGUAGAGCCGGCGCACCUCCCUCCCCCCCAUUGCGGGAGCGUUGGUUGGCCCUCCCGGGGCACUCUGGGAACUGGAGGGGCUGCGUUCUCGUUUCCGCUGCGCGUGGGGUGGCGGUGCGUGCUCGCUAAGGAUGCUCCGCGGGGCGGUCGGCGCUUGCCGCUGGGGCCUGAGAACCGGGAGGUGCGGGGGCGAGGCGAGGCGAGGCGAUGCUGUGCGUGAGGGGAUCGGCCGUGCGCGUUGAUGACCACCCAUAGUCUGUCCAGACCAGAAGAAGAACCUUUUGGAAGAUGACUCCUCAUACUGUACUGCUUCGGUAUCUCAGUCUUUAAAGUGAAAACAUUAUUUUUUUCCUUCCUUUCAAGUGAAAGAAGUGGAAGUUUGGCAGUGGCCGAAGCAAGCAACAGUGCAACCACGUGACAUCGCAGGAGUACGAGUGUGUUUGUGCAGUAGCCAUGGGUGAUCUUCCUGGCAUCACAGGGAUAGGCAUGUGGUGAAAGCUUCUAAGCAUGUGAAGAGUGUGUACUAGAAGGUGACGAAGUACUGACACCCCAGCUCUCCUGCAGUUUUAUGAGGAAGAAUUGUUAGAACCAGCCUGAAACCAGUGGCAAUGCAAGACUACUCCCUUAGAAACAAAAAGCUGUUAAGGACUUGGGAAUGUUAAGCCUUUAAAUGCUUACACUAACACGAGUUAUUUCUAACUGUAUUAGAACAGUGCUUAUGUAGACAUAAAAAAAAAAAAAAAUAAAGAUUUAUGUUUCUGUUAUUAGAACUCUUGUCUUUUCCAAGCUGUAUUAACUGCCAAACAGAAGCAACUGCCAAGACUUGUUUUUUAUCAUUUUUGGGUUACCAGUUCACUACUUUGGAUUAAAAUACAGGAGUUAAUUAGUGUAUAGAACGUAAUCACUGAAACCAUGCCCCUCUGUAGCACUCAGAGUGGGUUAGCUGUUAGAUGUUGUGGUGAGGAAAAGCAGAAAUUUAAAUUUAGCAAACCUAUGUUUAAAAAUCACAAGAAAGGUGUUUUUCCAACAUGAAGAACUGCAAGCUAGUUCUGUAACUAGCUACAUAGAUCAGCUACAUGUUGUGAUACUUCAAGUAAAGUUAAAGUAGAGUGAAAUGCACUUCAAGAACAGCAAAUUAAUGUCCUAUUUUUUUGUUUGUUUUCUGAGAGGAAAGUUCAUUAAUUCAUUGUAUCAGAAAAGCAAAUGCUAAAUUUCUGUAUCUCAAAUUGUCUUACUGUGUAUUAAUGUAAGCAAAUUAUUAAUGCAACAUCUAAGCACAAGUGGGAGUGAAUUUCUGGUUUCUCAAAAGGGAUGGCAGUUUAGACAAGCAAUAAAUUUGUAGUGUUUUAGAAUGUAGAAAGCUCAAGGUUGUGCUAGGGACUGUACUUCCUGAAGACAGCAUCUGUUCAAGUGUUUUGCGCCUGGGUCUUUGUUUUUGCAUGGCGGGACUGGCAAGGCUAGUUUUUAAGACCUUUUUUUUAAAAAACAAAAACAAAAAACACAAAACAAGCUGCAAACAGCCAGUACAGUUUUCUUGAUAGCUAAAAUGUUAACUUCCUUUGAACAAGAAAAAUAAUGGGUAAUCUUAGGCAUCAGAAUAUAUUAACUGUUCCAUGGUGUGGUGGAAUGAAGAACAAAAAAGGAAAAAGGGUAGAGGAAUAUGUAAGGGGCACUGAUUACUAAAACAGUAAUGGUAAAUAGAAUUAUGGUAAAAAUAAGUGAAUAUAAAUGCAUCAGGACUCCCUUUCUUAGCUUUUUACGAGCAGCUAACUUGACUUCAGUUGUGAAAAAAAGUAAGGAAUCUCAGGUUUUUCUCCAUUAUUAUUUUAGACUAACAUUGUCUGACAGGCUGUUCAUUUUAUUAAAAUGAGUUGAAAGGAUAAGAGAUUCCCAGGUGAGCCGGGGGAGGAAGGGGGCGAAGAUAUUUGUGCUAGAUCAGUGUUGCACCAAUCCUCAAUUCUGCUACCUACUCCAGUGCUCUAUGGAAGGAAGUAUUAAAGCUGAGAAACAGAACUCUUGAAAGGUGUGCACAGAAAGAGAAGUGUCACAUUCCAGAUCAUUCUUUAGCCUCGCAUACUGCAUCCAGCUUCACUAGGGCAGGUUCUGUUGAAGGAAAUAUUGAAGGAAAUUGUAAUAAAUUUAACAGAAGAAUAUGAAGAAAGUCACGUGCAUGCUGAUACCCUUACUGAGGAAGCAAUGCACAAAACUGGCUGUUUUUUUUUUUUUAAAUUUAACUUCACAGCAAAGCAGAUGUCACAU
Gallus gallus (chicken) is the source of this 2675-nucleotide long non-coding RNA. The record is from Ensembl. Lineage: Eukaryota; Metazoa; Chordata; Aves; Galliformes; Phasianidae.